RNAcentral lists this ribosomal RNA (403 nucleotides) under uncultured bacterium. Its description in RNAcentral is "bacterial SSU rRNA". It matches the Rfam family "Bacterial small subunit ribosomal RNA", at positions 355 to 773 of the family's 1533-position model. The record is from RNAcentral.
UGAGGAAUUUUCAUCAAUGGGGGCAACCCUGAACGAGCAACGCCGCGUGCAGGAGGAAGGUCUUCGGAUCGUAAACUGCUUUUCUCUGGGACGAGAAUGGACGGUACCAGAGGAAGAAGCCCCGGCUAACUACGUGCCAGCAGCCGCGGUAAUACGUAGGGGGCGAGCGUUGUCCGGAUUUAUUGGGCGUAAAGGGCGCGUAGGCGGUGCUUUAAGUUUGGAGUGACAGUGGGUGGCUUAACUACCCAAGGCCUUUGAAAACUGGAGCACUUGAGGACCAGAGAGGGACAUAGAAUUCCGGGUGGAGUGGUGAAAUGCGUAGAUAUCCGGAGGAAUACCAAAGGCGAAGGCAGUGUCCUGGAGGGUUAACUGACGCUGAGGCGCGAAAGCUAGGGGAGCAAAC